Small nucleolar RNA from Otolemur garnettii (small-eared galago), 103 nucleotides. NCBI's taxonomy places the organism in Eukaryota, Metazoa, Chordata, Mammalia, Primates, Galagidae. The record is from Ensembl.
AUCCUUUUGUAGUUCAUAAGCAUGAAGAUUGGGUUUUCAUGCGCAUGUGUGAGAUGCGCCUCCCAAAAUCUUGUUACGACAUCAGCACAUCACCCAUCUGACA